AAUGGGCGGAAGCCUGAACCAGCCAUGCCGCGUGCAGGAUGACGGCCCUACGGGUUGUAAACUGCUUUUCCCCGGGAAGAAUAAGCCCCUCGUGAGGGGUGAUGCCGGUACCGGGGGAAUAAGGAUCGGCUAACUCCGUGCCAGCAGCCGCGGUAAUACGGAGGAUCCGAGCGUUAUCCGGAUUUACUGGGUUUAAAGGGUGCGUAGGCGGGCGCCUAAGUCAGCGGUGAAAUGCAGCGGCUCAACCGUUGAACUGCCGUUGAAACUGGGCGCCUUGGAUGCGGUCGAGGCCGGCGGAAUGCGUGGUGUAGCGGUGAAAUGCUUAGAUAUCACGCAGAACGCCAAUUGCGAAGGCAGCUGGCCGGGCCGCAAUCGACGCUGAGGCACGAAAGCGUGGGGAUCAAA
Molecule: ribosomal RNA, 405 nt
Filed under: uncultured bacterium
Lineage: Bacteria
Description: bacterial SSU rRNA
Rfam family: Bacterial small subunit ribosomal RNA
Source: RNAcentral